AUUGAACGCUGGCGGCAGGCCUAACACAUGCAAGUCGAGCGGAUGAAGGGAGCUUGCUCCUGGAUUCAGCGGCGGACGGGUGAGUAAUGCCUAGGAAUCUGCCUGGUAGUGGGGGAUAACGUCCGGAAACGGGCGCUAAUACCGCAUACGUCCUGAGGGAGAAAGUGGGGGAUCUUCGGACCUCACGCUAUCAGAUGAGCCUAGGUCGGAUUAGCUAGUUGGUGGGGUAAAUGCCUACCAAGGCGACGAUCCGUAACUGGUCUGAGAGGAUGAUCAGUCACACUGGAACUGAGACACGGUCCCGACUCCUACGGGAGGCAGCAGUGGGGAAUAUUGGACAAUGGGCGAAAGCCUGAUCCAGCCAUGCCGAGUGUGUGAAGAAGGUCUUCGGAUUGUAAAGAACUUUAAGUUGGGAGGAAGGGCAGUAAGUUAAUACCUUGCUGUUUUGACGUUACCAACAGAAUAAGCACCGGCUAACUUCGUG
This 484-nucleotide ribosomal RNA is filed under the name uncultured bacterium. RNAcentral describes it as "partial 16S ribosomal RNA". It matches the Rfam family "Bacterial small subunit ribosomal RNA", at positions 30 to 507 of the family's 1533-position model. The record is from RNAcentral.